CUACGGGCCGCUGCAGUCGAGAAUCUUCCGCAAUGGGCGAAAGCCUGACGGAGCGACGCCGCGUGGUUGAUGAGGUCUUUCGGGACGUAAAAAUCUUUUAUGAUUAAGAAAGUUUAUUGAUCUAAUCAUGAAUAAGGGGCUGCAAACUCUGUGCCAGCAGCAGCGGUAAUACAGAGGCCCCAAGCGUUGUCCGGAAUCACUGGGCGUAAAGGGUGUGUAGGUGGUCUGAUUAGUCUCUCGUUAAAGCUCCCGACUCAAUUGGGAAAAUGCGAGAGAAACGGCCAGACUAGAGGAUGCGAGAGGUAAAUGGAACUCAUGGAGUAGGGGUGAAAUCCGUUGAUAUCAUGGGGAACACCAAAAGCGAAGGCAAUUUACUGGCGCAUUCCUGACACUGAGACACGAAAGCGUAGGUAGCGAAUGGGAUUAGAUACCCGAGUAGUC
This 441-nucleotide ribosomal RNA is filed under the name uncultured bacterium. Its description in RNAcentral is "partial 16S ribosomal RNA". It matches the Rfam family "Bacterial small subunit ribosomal RNA", at positions 339 to 795 of the family's 1533-position model. The record is from RNAcentral.